RNAcentral lists this transfer RNA (81 nucleotides) under Calocera viscosa TUFC12733. It matches the Rfam family "tRNA". From Rfam's summary of the family: Transfer RNA (tRNA) molecules are approximately 80 nucleotides in length. Their secondary structure includes four short double-helical elements and three loops (D, anti-codon, and T loops). Lineage: Eukaryota; Fungi; Basidiomycota; Dacrymycetes; Dacrymycetales; Dacrymycetaceae. The record is from Rfam by way of RNAcentral.
GGCGAACUGGCCCAAUGGUCAAGGCGCUUGACUACGACUAGUUCCAUCAAGAGAUUGCAGGUUCGAGUCCUGCGUUCGUCA